GAGAGAGAGUGAAGAGGGAGCAAUAGAGAGAGUCGAGAGGAAGGGCUAGGGGAGACAGAGGCGGCGGCCGCGGCGGCGAGCUAAGGCCGGUGACGACCGUACGAAGCGGUGGCAUGAACGGUGGAUGUCGAGGGGGAGCUCGACUAGAUGGAAGAGGUGGGCGAGCUAAACGAAUAGGAAGGAGAGCGCGCGCGCUCAGGGGGAGAGGGAUGCGCUGAGGUACGGCGGCGGCGGGUGCGGCCGCCCAAGGCCGCUAAAGGUGGUCCCGCGUUGUCCGAAGGCGCGAGGGGAGAGUGGCCCGGAAGUAGGUCAUACCGGUCUAGGCGGCCCGCACCGGGGAUGGGAGUGGGUGCCGAUCCCUAAACCGCCGAGGUUGCAGCCGCACCGAGUUCAUCCAGUGGGUAGUGCGCCUGCCCAGCUUCGCGACCUAGAGCCCUGUCCCGCCGCGCCUCCGGAAGGAGGGUAUCCUAAGGCUCGAGCUGCUAGGAUCGCCGACGGCAGGAACGGGGCGAGCUCCUCCUCCCGGCGUGGAUCGUCCGGUGGUUACCGGACAAGACGAGGAGCAGAAGGAGGUGACGACAGUGUGGGGUGUUCGUCUAGCCCCCUUAAAGUCUGUUCCCUAAGCUAGAUCCCAAGAUUGAACGAGCAUAAUUGAGCUUAUACGAUUUCAUAUAAGGAGUGUCUCCCUCCAAAUCCAUAUGUAACAAACCUAUAAAGACCCUUAGCUUACUUACCGAUGUUCGCGUGUCACGACCGACAAUAUAUCGGAGCUGUUGUCGUCACUGGCCGUUGGACGACUUUGCCAUGUCCCUUGCCCGCUCGCUAGGAAAGAUGAACUGCGAACUGUCGGCUGGUUAUUGACUUGAAGAAGACGUGGACUGUUACGGGGGAGCUCUUUUACUUGAACAGGAGUUCCUCAGAGUUAAGAGUUGCAGGAACCGCGGUUGAGAGUUGACAAACGAACUUCUUUCUGCCUUUACACAUAAACUACUUUAGACGUAGAAGGGUGCUCCUUAGGAGGCCUCCAUCCAAGCGGGUAACCUGGUUGGUAACGUGGUGCCCGUCCAACAAAGAGCCUUAAACCGUGUAAACGUUUUGGUCACGGCCAAGGACGAACUAUAACGGGAGAAGACAAUGGUUACCAUUUAGUCGCGUUCCUUGUUGGACUCCUGGUUAUACCGCGAAAUUGACUGACUGUACCUUUUGACCCACCUAGAAGCGAGGGAGUCCGUUAUACUCUACUAUCCGGUGUAAAGGGUGGAACACAUCGUGGGAUUUACCAGGUAUUUUAAACGAAACCUCAAAUUACACACAAAAUUGAGGUUUUCGUAAGUCUUCUAUUCCAACGUAGAAGUUUAUAUGGUACAGCGGAAGGACUUUUCUAGAAAGGGACGCAAACGCCAGUCGUUUGAAAAAGUAGGAGAGGACUCGUGCGACGUUCAAAAGGAAGUCUUGUGGGUUGUCAACGACAGACAGACAAUUGUCAAGAAAUCAAAGUAACAACACUUACUGUAUAAGUGACUCAACACCUCCUCCUAUGGGUAUUUCUCGGAGUUUACCCCAGAAGAAGUCUCUUCUUACUUUACUUGAUAACAUGGUUAUAAGUCGGUAACCAUUUACAACGUGGGUGAACCAACCUACUCGUCUUCAUUCUGUGGACUCUAUCAAAAGUUACGUAACCAAUUGGGAGAGCCAAACCGGUAGACUAACACCUACUAUUCGACUUGACAUAGAGUUCAGUUGAAAGUCACGACGUUUUUAUAGGAAGGUAUCGACUGAUCACUUUAAAAACAGAGACAGUCUAUGAUACCGUUAUCCUCCCGGUACGUCAAAUUACUAUAACAGUUACUUAUGAACUCGGUGACAGAAGUGUCAUUUUCCUACACUGUCUCAUUCCUUCACACGUUUGAAACACUCGGACAGUUGUUGGUGUUUUUAGUGAAGGAAGGGAACACUGAAACCUUCAGGAAGAUACUUUAGGUAUGAGUCUACUCAGGUACGGUAUAGUCCUUAUACGUCUCCCAAUUCAUCGGGUCCUAUUACCGUCCAAAGGGGGAAUAAAAAGACUGUUUGUACCGUAAGACAGUGGGUAAAAAGAUGUAGUCUAAACUCCGGUCCGGUUAUCUUUUAAAAGAAAUAGGAAAGUAUUCUUCGAAAAGACGGACUUACGGGAGGGUUUCGGCUACUUACAUUCCGAACAUACUAAAACCUAAACUCAAGAUGUAGUAAAGGUUACAUCUAAAACG
RNAcentral lists this ribosomal RNA (2246 nucleotides) under Triticum aestivum (bread wheat). RNAcentral describes it as "partial small subunit ribosomal RNA". Lineage: Eukaryota; Viridiplantae; Streptophyta; Magnoliopsida; Poales; Poaceae. The record is from RNAcentral.